UAGGGAAUCUUCGGCAAUGGGGGGAACCCUGACCGAGCAACGCCGCGUGAGUGAAGAAGGUUUUCGGAUCGUAAAGCUCUGUUGUUAAGGAAGAACGAGUGUGAGAAUGGAAAGUUCAUGCUGUGACGGUACUUAACCAGAAAGGGACGGCUAACUACGUGCCAGCAGCCGCGGUAAUACGUAGGUCCCGAGCGUUGUCCGGAUUUAUUGGGCGUAAAGCGAGCGCAGGCGGUUAGAUAAGUCUGCAGUUAAAGGCAGUGGCUCAACCAUUGUAGGCUUUGGAAACUGUUUAACUUGAGUGCAGAAGGGGAGAGUGGAAUUCCAUGUGUAGCGGUGAAAUGCGUAGAUAUAUGGAGGAACACCGGUGGCGAAAGCGGCUCUCUGGUCUGUAACUGACGCUGAGGCUCGAAAGCGUGGGGAGCGAACAGG
This 429-nucleotide ribosomal RNA is filed under the name Bacteroidota bacterium. RNAcentral describes it as "Bacteroidetes bacterium partial 16S ribosomal RNA". It matches the Rfam family "Bacterial small subunit ribosomal RNA", at positions 355 to 776 of the family's 1533-position model. The record is from RNAcentral. Lineage: Bacteria; Pseudomonadati; Bacteroidota.